Molecule: transfer RNA, 89 nt
Filed under: Ophiocordyceps unilateralis
Lineage: Eukaryota; Fungi; Ascomycota; Sordariomycetes; Hypocreales; Ophiocordycipitaceae
Rfam family: tRNA
About the family: Transfer RNA (tRNA) molecules are approximately 80 nucleotides in length.
Source: Rfam by way of RNAcentral
CUCCUGGUAGUCUAGUUGGUUUAUGGCGUUGGACUGUAAUUGUGAAGAGAUCAAUCCAAAUGUCGCGUGUUCGAAUCACGCCCGGGAGA